GAUGAACGCUGGCGGCGUGCCUAAUACAUGCAAGUCGAGCGAACGGACGAGAAGCUUGCUUCUCUGAUGUUAGCGGCGGACGGGUGAGUAACACGUGGAUAACCUACCUAUAAGACUGGGAUAACUUCGGGAAACCGUAGCUAAUACCGGAUAAUAUUUUGAACCGCAUGGUUCAAAAGUGAAAGACGGUCUUGCUGUCACUUAUAGAUGGAUCCGCGCUGCAUUAGCUAGUUGGUAAGGUAACGGCUUACCAAGGCAACGAUGCAUAGCCGACCUGAGAGGGUGAUCGGCCACACUGGAACUGAGACACGGUCCAGACUCCUACGGGAGGCAGCAGUAGGGAAUCUUCCGCAAUGGGCGAAAGCCUGACGGAGCAACGCCGCGUGAGUGAUGAAGGUCUUCGGAUCGUAAAACUCUGUUAUUAGGGAAGAACAUAUGUGUAAGUAACUGUGCACAUCUUGACGGUACCUAAUCAGAAAGCCACGGCUAACUACGUGCCAGCAGCCGCGGUAAUACGUAGGUGGCAAGCGUUAUCCGGAAUUAUUGGGCGUAAAGCGCGCGUAGGCGGUUUUUUAAGUCUGAUGUGAAAGCCCACGGCUCAACCGUGGAGGGUCAUUGGAAACUGGAAAACUUGAGUGCAGAAGAGGAAAGUGGAAUUCCAUGUGUAGCGGUGAAAUGCGCAGAGAUAUGGAGGAACACCAGUGGCGAAGGCGACUUUCUGGUCUGUAACUGACGCUGAUGUGCGAAAGCGUGGGGAUCAAACAGGAUUAGAUACCCUGGUAGUCCACGCCGUAAACGAUGAGUGCUAAGUGUUAGGGGGUUUCCGCCCCUUAGUGCUGCAGCUAACGCAUUAAGCACUCCGCCUGGGGAGUACGACCGCAAGGUG
Molecule: ribosomal RNA, 886 nt
Filed under: uncultured Staphylococcus sp.
Lineage: Bacteria; Bacillati; Bacillota; Bacilli; Caryophanales; Staphylococcaceae
Description: bacterial SSU rRNA
Rfam family: Bacterial small subunit ribosomal RNA
Source: RNAcentral